GGACGAACGCUGGCGGCGUGCCUAAUACAUGCAAGUCGAACGGUCUUUCUAUGGAAGCUUGCUUCCACUGAGAAGAUAGUGGCGAACGGGUGAGUAACACGUGGGUAACCUGCCCAUAAGAGGGGGGAUAACAUCCGGAAACGGGUGCUAAUACCGCAUAGUUUUCUUGAUUGCAUGAUUGAGAAAGGAAAGACGGCCUUUGUGCUGUCGCUUAUGGAUGGACCCGCGGCGUAUUAGUUAGUUGGUGAGGUAACGGCUCACCAAGACGAUGAUACGUAGCCGACCUGAGAGGGUGAUCGGCCACAUUGGGACUGAGACACGGCCCAAACUCCUACGGGAGGCAGCAGUAGGGAAUCUUCCGCAAUGGACGAAAGUCUGACGGAGCAACGCCGCGUGAGUGAAGAAAAGGUUUUCGGAUCGUAAAACUCUGUUGUCAGAGAAGAACAAGUUGGAGAGUAACUGCUCCAGCCUUGACGGUAUCUGACCAGAAAGCCACGGCUAACUACGUGCCAGCCGCAGC
This 520-nucleotide ribosomal RNA is filed under the name uncultured bacterium. Its description in RNAcentral is "bacterial SSU rRNA". It matches the Rfam family "Bacterial small subunit ribosomal RNA", at positions 27 to 518 of the family's 1533-position model. The record is from RNAcentral.